RNAcentral lists this transfer RNA (73 nucleotides) under Rothia terrae. It matches the Rfam family "tRNA". From Rfam's summary of the family: Transfer RNA (tRNA) molecules are approximately 80 nucleotides in length. The record is from Rfam by way of RNAcentral. Lineage: Bacteria; Bacillati; Actinomycetota; Actinomycetes; Micrococcales; Micrococcaceae.
GCCUUGCUAGCUCAAUUGGUAGAGCACUCGAUGUGUAAUCGAGGGGUUGUCGGUUCGAUUCCGGCGCUGGGCU